RNAcentral lists this transfer RNA (84 nucleotides) under Megasphaera elsdenii. RNAcentral's name for it is "tRNA-Leu(tag)". It matches the Rfam family "tRNA". From Rfam's summary of the family: Transfer RNA (tRNA) molecules are approximately 80 nucleotides in length. Their secondary structure includes four short double-helical elements and three loops (D, anti-codon, and T loops). Lineage: Bacteria; Bacillati; Bacillota; Negativicutes; Veillonellales; Veillonellaceae. RNAcentral also lists the same sequence under 17 other names. The record is from RNAcentral.
GCGAGUGUGGCGGAAUGGCAGACGCACCAGACUUAGGAUCUGGCGCCUCACGGCGUGAGGGUUCAAGUCCCUCCACUCGCACCA